RNAcentral lists this ribosomal RNA (497 nucleotides) under uncultured bacterium. RNAcentral's name for it is "partial 16S ribosomal RNA". It matches the Rfam family "Bacterial small subunit ribosomal RNA", at positions 28 to 507 of the family's 1533-position model. The record is from RNAcentral.
GAUGAACGCUGGCGGCGUGCCUAAUACAUGCAAGUCGAGCGAACGGACGAUAAGCUUGCUUCUCUGAUGUUAGCGGCGGACGGGUGAGUAACACGUGGAUAACCUACCUAUAAGACUGGGAUAACUUCGGGAAACCGGAGCUAAUACCGGAUGAUAUUUUGAACCGCAUGGUUCAAAAGUGAAAGACGGUCUUGCUGUCACUUAUAGAUGGAUCCGCGCUGGAUUAGCUAGUUGGUAAGGUAACGGCUUACCAAGGCAACGAUGCGUAGCCGACCUGAGAGGAUGAUCGGCCACACUGGAACUGAGACACGGUCCAGACUCCUACGGGAGGCAGCAGUGGGGAAUAUUGCACAAAGGGCGAAAGCCUGACGGAGCAACGCCGCGUGAGUGAUGAAGGUCUUCGGAUCGUAAAGCCCUGUUAUUAGGGAAGAACAGAUGUGUAAGAAACUGUGCACAUCUUGACGGUACCUAAUCAGAAAGCCACGGCUAACUACGUG